RNAcentral lists this transfer RNA (58 nucleotides) under Loxodonta africana (African savanna elephant). It matches the Rfam family "tRNA", at positions 8 to 63 of the family's 71-position model. Rfam says of the family: Transfer RNA (tRNA) molecules are approximately 80 nucleotides in length. Their secondary structure includes four short double-helical elements and three loops (D, anti-codon, and T loops). Further hydrogen bonds mediate the characteristic L-shaped molecular structure. tRNAs have two regions of fundamental functional importance: the anti-codon, which is responsible for specific mRNA codon recognition, and the 3' end, to which the tRNAs corresponding amino acid is attached (by aminoacyl-tRNA synthetases). tRNAs cope with the degeneracy of the genetic code in two manners: having more than one tRNA (with a specific anti-codon) for a particular amino acid; and 'wobble' base-pairing, i.e. permitting non-standard base-pairing at the 3rd anti-codon position. The record is from Rfam by way of RNAcentral. Lineage: Eukaryota; Metazoa; Chordata; Mammalia; Proboscidea; Elephantidae.
UGGUGCAGUGGUUAAAGCACUUGGCUGCUAACCAAAAGGUUGGUGGUUCAAAUCCACC